AUUGAACGCUGGCGGCAGGCCUAACACAUGCAAGUCGAGGGGAGCGGCGGACGGGUGAGUAGUGCAUAGGAAUCUGCCUGUCAGUGGGGGAUAACGUCCGGAACCGGGCGCUAGUACCGCAUACUAGCAGCUGAUCCGAGGUCGGGUUAGCUAGUUGGUGGGGGAAAGGCCGACCAAGGCGACGAUCCGUAACUGGUCUGGGAGGAGGAUCAGUCACACUUGAACUGAGACACGGUCCAGACUCCGAAGGGAGGCAGCAGUGGGGAAUAUUGGACAAUGGGCGAAGGCCUGAUCCAGCCAUGCCGCGUGUGUGAAGAAGGUCUUCGGAUUGUAAAUCACUUUAAGUUGGGAGGCGUUACCAACAGAAUAAGCACCGGCUAACUUCGUGCCAGCAGCCGCGGUAAUUC
Molecule: ribosomal RNA, 407 nt
Filed under: uncultured bacterium
Lineage: Bacteria
Description: partial 16S ribosomal RNA
Rfam family: Bacterial small subunit ribosomal RNA
Source: RNAcentral